UACGGAGGGUGCAAGCGUUAAUCGGAAUUACUGGGCGUAAAGCGUGCGCAGGCGGUUUGUUAAGUCCGCUGUGAAAUCCCCGAGCUCAACUUGGGAAUUGCAGUGGAUACUGGCAAGCUGGAGUAUGGUGGAGGAAGGUGGAAUUCCCGGUGUAGCAGUGAAAUGCGUAGAGAUCGGGAGGAACACCAGUGGCGAAGGCGGCCUUCUGGACCAAUACUGACGCUCAUGCACGAAAGCGUGGGGAGCAAACAGG
This 253-nucleotide ribosomal RNA is filed under the name uncultured bacterium. RNAcentral's name for it is "partial 16S ribosomal RNA". It matches the Rfam family "Bacterial small subunit ribosomal RNA", at positions 524 to 776 of the family's 1533-position model. The record is from RNAcentral.